Molecule: ribosomal RNA, 768 nt
Filed under: uncultured bacterium
Lineage: Bacteria
Description: bacterial SSU rRNA
Rfam family: Bacterial small subunit ribosomal RNA
Source: RNAcentral
GACGAACGCUGGCGGCGUGCCUAAUACAUGCAAGUCGAGCGAAGUUUUUCUGGUGCUUGCACUAGAAAAACUUAGCGGCGAACGGGUGAGUAACACGUAAAGAACCUGCCUCAUAGACUGGGACAACUAUUGGAAACGAUAGCUAAUACCGGAUAACAGUAUUUCUCGCAUGAGAGAUAUUUAAAAGUUGGUUAUGCUAACACUAUGAGAUGGCUCUGCGGUGCAUUAGCUAGUUGGUGGGGUAAAGGCCCACCAAGGCGACGAUGCAUAGCCGACCUGAGAGGGUGAUCGGCCACACUGGGACUGAGACACGGCCCAGACUCCUACGGGAGGCAGCAGUAGGGAAUCUUCCGCAAUGGGCGAAAGCCUGACGGAGCAACGCCGCGUGAGUGAAGAAGGAUUUCGGUUCGUAAAGCUCUGUUGUUAGGGAAGAAUGGAUAUGUAGUAACUAUACAUGUAAGAGACGGUACCUAACCAGAAAGCCACGGCUAACUACGUGCCAGCAGCCGCGGUAAUACGUAGGUGGCAAGCGUUGUCCGGAAUUAUUGGGCGUAAAGCGCGCGCAGGUGGUUUAAUAAGUCUGAUGUGAAAGCCCACGGCUCAACCGUGGAGGGUCAUUGGAAACUGUUAAACUUGAGUGCAGGAGAGAAAAGUGGAAUUCCUAGUGUAGCGGUGAAAUGCGUAGAGAUUAGGAGGAACACCAGUGGCGAAGGCGGCUUUUUGGCCUGUAACUGACACUGAGGCGCGAAAGCGUGGGGAGCAAACGGG